AAAGCAUUUGAGAGAUGGAGUGACACAGUAGGAUAAGCUAACCGUACUGUUGGUUAUGUACGGCUAAGCAUUGAGGCAGUCUAAAUAGGCAAAUCCGUUUAGACAAUGCUAGGAUGUGAUGGGGAGGUCCUUCGGGGCGAAGUAGCUGAUUUCACACUGUCAAGAAAAGCUUCUAUCGAGUUUAAAGGCGCCCGUACCGUAAACCGACACAGGUGGGUGAGGAGAGUAUCCUAAGGCCAGCGAGAGAACUAUUGUUAAGGAACUCGGCAAAAUGACCCCGUAACUUAGGGAGAAGGGGUGCCUGUCUAUGACAGGCCGCAGAGAAUAGGCCCAAGCGACUGUUUACCAAAAACACAGGUUUCUGCUAAGUCGCAAGACGAUGUAUAGGAGCUGACGCCUGCCCGGUGCUGGAAGGUUAAGGGGAUCUGUUAGAGCAAUCGAAGCAGUGAACUUAAGCCCCAGUAAACGGCGGCCGUAACAAUAACGGUCCUAAGGUAGCGAAAUUCCUUGUCGGGUAAGUUCCGACCCGCACGAAAGGCGUAACGAUUUGGGCACUGUCUCAACAAUAGACUCGGUGAAAUUGUAAUCCCGGUGAAGAUGCCGGGUACCUGCGACAGGACGGAAAGACCCCAUGGAGCUUUACUGUAGCUUGAUGUUGGGUCUUGGUACUACAUGUACAGGAUAGGUGGGAGACUAUGAAGCAUGGACGCCAGUCUGUGUGGAGUCAUCCUUGGGAUACCACCCUUGUAGUACUGGGAUCCUAACCAUAGGCCUUGAAUCAGGUCUUGGAACACCGUCAGGUGGGCAGUUUGACUGGGGCGGUCGCCUCCUAAAAAGUAACGGAGGCGCUCAAAGGUUUCCUCAGCACGGUCGGAAAUCGUGCGAAGAGUGUAAAGGCAAAAGGAAGCUUGAUUGCAAGACAUACAGGUCGAGCAAGGACGAAAGUCGGACUUAGUGAUCCGGUGGUACCUCAUGGAAGGGCCAUCGCUCAACGGAUAAAAGCUACCCUGGGGAUAACAGGCUUAUCUCCCCCAAGAGUCCACAUCGACGGGGAGGUUUGGCACCUCGAUGUCGGCUCAUCACAUCCUGGGGCUGUAGUAGGUCCCAAGGGUUGGGCUGUUCGCCCAUUAAAGUGGUACGCGAGCUGGGUUCAGAACGUCGUGAGACAGUUCGGUCCCUAUCCGCCGCAGGCGUAGGAAAUUUGAGAAGACCUGUCCUUAGUACGAGAGGACCGGGAUGGACGUACCUCUGGUGUACCAGUUGUUCUGCCAAGGGCAUGGCUGGGUAGCUAUGUACGGAAUGGAUAAGCGCUGAAAGCAUCUAAGCGCGAAGCCAACUUCAAGAUAAGAUUUCCCACCGUAAGGGUAAGACCCCAGGAAGACUACCUGGUUGAUAGGUCGAAGGUGUAAGUGCAGUAAUGUAUUUAGCUUAUCGAUACUAAUAGGUCGAGGACUUGACCG
This 1460-nucleotide ribosomal RNA is filed under the name metagenome. RNAcentral describes it as "bacterial LSU rRNA". It matches the Rfam family "Bacterial large subunit ribosomal RNA", at positions 1451 to 2925 of the family's 2925-position model. The record is from RNAcentral.